Molecule: ribosomal RNA, 253 nt
Filed under: uncultured bacterium
Lineage: Bacteria
Description: partial 16S ribosomal RNA
Rfam family: Bacterial small subunit ribosomal RNA
Source: RNAcentral
UACAGAGGUCUCAAGCGUUGUUCGGAUUCAUUGGGCGUAAAGGGUGCGUAGGCGGCGUGGUAAGUCGGAUGUGAAAUCUCGGAGCUUAACUCCGAAACUGCAUUCGAUACUGCCGUGCUUGAGGACUGGAGAGGAGACUGGAAUUUACGGUGUAGCAGUGAAAUGCGUAGAUAUCGUAAGGAAGACCAGUGGCGAAGGCGGGUCUCUGGACAGUUCCUGACACUGAGGCACGAAGGCCAGGGGAGCAAACGGG